RNAcentral lists this ribosomal RNA (253 nucleotides) under uncultured bacterium. RNAcentral describes it as "partial 16S ribosomal RNA". It matches the Rfam family "Bacterial small subunit ribosomal RNA", at positions 524 to 776 of the family's 1533-position model. The record is from RNAcentral.
UACGGAGGGUGCAAGCGUUAUUCGGAUUUACUGGGCUUAAAGGGUGUGUAGGCGGACUAUUAAGUCAGCGGUGAAAUCUCCGGGCUCAACCCGGAAACUGCCAUUGAUACUAUUAGUCUUGAAUGUUGUUGAGGUGGGCGGAACGGGUCAUGUAGCGGUGAAAUGCAUAGAUAUGACCCGGAACACCGAUUGCGAAGGCAGCCCACUAAGCAACGAUUGACGCUGAGGCACGAAAGCGUGGGGAGCAAACAGG